RNAcentral lists this ribosomal RNA (465 nucleotides) under Vreelandella stevensii. Its description in RNAcentral is "partial 16S ribosomal RNA". It matches the Rfam family "Bacterial small subunit ribosomal RNA", at positions 338 to 795 of the family's 1533-position model. Lineage: Bacteria; Pseudomonadati; Pseudomonadota; Gammaproteobacteria; Oceanospirillales; Halomonadaceae. The record is from RNAcentral.
CCUACGGGUGGCUGCAGUGGGGAAUAUUGGACAAUGGGGGGAACCCUGAUACAGCCAUGCCGCGUGUGUGAAGAAGGCCCUCGGGUUGUAAAGCACUUUCAGUGAGGAAGAACGCCUGGUGGUUAAUACCCAUCAGGAAAGACAUCACUCACAGAAGAAGCACCGGCUAACUCCGUGCCAGCAGCCGCGGUAAUACGGAGGGUGCGAGCGUUAAUCGGAAUUACUGGGCGUAAAGCGCGCGUAGGUGGCUUGAUAAGCCGGUUGUGAAAGCCCCGGGCUCAACCUGGGAACGGCAUCCGGAACUGUCAAGCUAGAGUGCAGGAGAGGAAGGUAGAAUUCCCGGUGUAGCGGUGAAAUGCGUAGAGAUCGGGAGGAAUACCAGUGGCGAAGGCGGCCUUCUGGACUGACACUGACACUGAGGUGCGAAAGCGUGGGUAGCAAACAGGAUUAGAUACCCUAGUAGUC